AAGAUUUUAAGUUAAAAAAACUAUUUACCUUCAAAGUAAAAAUUAUAUUACAUAAAUCUUA
This 61-nucleotide transfer RNA is filed under the name Haemaphysalis hystricis. Its description in RNAcentral is "tRNA-Trp". Lineage: Eukaryota; Metazoa; Arthropoda; Arachnida; Ixodida; Ixodidae. The record is from RNAcentral.